GUGCCAGCAGCCGCGGUAAUACGGAGGGUGCAAGCGUUAUCCGGAUUCACUGGGUUUAAAGGGUGCGUAGGCGGCGAAUUAAGUCAGCGGUAAAAUUUCUGGGCUCAACCCAGUCGUGCCGUUGAAACUGGUUUGCUUGAGUACGGAUGAAGUAGGCGGAAUUUGUAGUGUAGCGGUGAAAUGCAUAGAUAUUACAAGGAACUCCAAUUGCGCAGGCAGCUUACUAAACCGUAACUGACGCUGAUGCACGAAAGUGUGGGUAUCAAACAGGAUUAGAUACCCUGGUAGUCCACACAGUAAACGAUGAUUACUCGCUGUUUGCGAUAUACAGUAAGCGGCUUAGCGAAAGCGUUAAGUAAUCCACCUGGGGAGUACGCCGGCAACGGUGAA
RNAcentral lists this ribosomal RNA (390 nucleotides) under uncultured bacterium. Its description in RNAcentral is "bacterial SSU rRNA". It matches the Rfam family "Bacterial small subunit ribosomal RNA", at positions 505 to 898 of the family's 1533-position model. The record is from RNAcentral.